CAAAGGGGGCGACCCCGGUCAUGGAUGGGCAUGCGGCGCAUUAGGUAGUUGGUGGGGCAACGGCCCACCAAGCCGACGAUGCGUAGGGGUUCUGAGAGGAAGGUCCCCCACAUUGGAACUGAGACACGGUCCAAACUCCUACGGGAGGCAGCAGUGAGGAAUAUUGGUCAAUGGCCGGAAGGCUGAACCAGCCAAGUCGCGUGAGGGAAUAAGGCCCUACGGGUCGUAAACCUCUUUUGCCAGGGAGCAAUGCCGUCCACGUGUGGACGGAAGGAGAGUACCUGGAGAAAAAGCAUCGGCUAACUCCGUGCCAGCAGCCGCGGUAAUACGGAGGAUGCGAGCGUUAUCCGGAUUUAUUGGGUUUAAAGGGUGCGUAGGCGGCCUGCCAAGUCAGCGGUAAAAUUGCGGGGCUCAACCCCGUACAGCCGUUGAAACUGCCGGGCUCGAGUGGGCGAGAAGUAUGCGGAAUGCGUGGUGUAGCGGUGAAAUGCAUAGAUAUCACGCAGAACCCCGAUUGCGAAGGCAGCAUACCGGCGCCCGACUGACGCUGAGGCACGAAAGUGCGGGGAUCAAACAGGAUUAGAUACCCUGGUAGUCCGCACAGUAAACGAUGAAUGCUAGCUGUCCGGGGGGAUUGACCCCUG
RNAcentral lists this ribosomal RNA (644 nucleotides) under uncultured bacterium. Its description in RNAcentral is "bacterial SSU rRNA". It matches the Rfam family "Bacterial small subunit ribosomal RNA", at positions 201 to 841 of the family's 1533-position model. The record is from RNAcentral.